This is a non-coding RNA of Equus caballus (horse), 6012 nucleotides long. The record is from RefSeq and is a predicted model, not a curated record. NCBI's taxonomy places the organism in Eukaryota, Metazoa, Chordata, Mammalia, Perissodactyla, Equidae.
ACUUAACUGCUGCGCCACCGGGCCGGCCCCCUUAACUUUCUGACUGUCCAGAACUCAGCCUGGAUGGAGCUACUGGACCCUGUGCUGCUUCCUGGGUCCUUCCCGCUGCUGCAUGAACCAUCUCUCUUCCUGUAUCACAGAGCCUGAGGGUCAUACCCUCCCCACCCUGAGUUACCAACGCCCUCCCGGCAAUUUGCUGUGCCUGAGGAUGACUUGAGUGCAGAACACCCUUCGAGCCAAGAUGCCAGGAGUUAACUGGGGGGUGGGGAAACCACAGGGACAGGAGGAAGAGAUUUUUAACAGCUUCUGGUGAUAGAAAUCAUCCCCAGCCAGCCCCCUGGUACCAGUUUACUGUUCUCUAUUUUAACUAAAUAUCUGUCACUCACGCAUUCAUGCUGCUGCUCCCUGGUCAGCUAGGCAGAAGUUACAUCACAAGGGGUACUGGGAGGAGCACUGGACUGGGAGUUGCAAGCUCUGAUCUCUACUCCUGGGACUGCCAUUAAUUGGAGGUGUGACCUUGGGCAAGUCCCUUCCUCUCUCUGAGCCUCAGUUUUCCCAUCCAUAAAGUGAGGGGACUGCACCAAACAGCCAGAUGGUGCCUUCUGCUCUGGCCGACUAGUCCAUUAACUCAUGGCUCUUGUUAUGAUGUCCCCUGAUAGCCUCAUCUCAGUCCCCGAGUCUGUUUCAACCGCAGUUCACUGUACUCCCCGUGGAACUCUCAUAACCAUAUGUUCUAAGAGGAAUUAUCUUCCAAUUUCACCUUCCAUUUGCAUCUUAAUUUAACUUUCAUUCCUGGGUGCCUGCUGGAAUGUCCAAGCCAAGCUUGAUGAUUUCUAAUUAGGCUGCUGUUAAGCUAGUCCAGUGGUCCCCAGCAGGGCACUUGCUGGGAAGACAGCAUGGGACAGUGGGAAGAGCAGGGGCCCCAGGCUCCGCCAGACCUGGACUCCAAUCCCAGCUCUGCCACACGUCAGCAAGGUGAUCUUGCACACGCCACUUUGCCUCUCUGAGCCUCAGUUUCUUUCUUGGUAAAAUGGAAGAAAUACCCUCUUUUUUCAUAAGGCUGUUGAGAAGUUCAAGGGAAAAAAAUAGACAUGAGAUGCCUAACUAAGUCAAUUGGCAAACAUUUCCUGUGUACCUACUAUGUGUUAGGCACUGGAUAAAAAAGCAGGCUCUCAAGCCCAACAGUCUGUUUCAAACCUGUCUUGGCUCCUCGUUAAGUCAGUGACCAUAAAACCCCUGCAGAUCAGUUUUUCCAUCUGUAAAAUGGGAACAGCAAGAGCAGCCUUAUAACAGUACAGUAAACUCGUAAGGUUGCUGCGAAAAGUGAACUGAUACAAGCAAAACACUUAAAGCAGCACAUGGUUCAUCGUAAGUACGUACCCAACAAAUAUUAGUACUAUUUAUUGGUUGCCUAUAAUGUGAGAGACACUGUUCCAGGCACCUUACAAGCUUUCUUUUAUUUAAUCAUGAGAACUCAAUGAAAAAGAUAUUAUCCUCAUUUUUCAGAUGAAGAAACUGAGGCACAGGGAGGUUAACCCACUCAAGGUCACAUAACUAAGUACGCGCUGGUUCUGAGAUUCAGUCCCAUGGAGUCUGUGAACUACUAUGUGACACGAUCAGGACAUUCAGAGCAUGGCACGCAGACAUCAUCAUGUGAAGCGUCUAUCACUGCCAUCACACUGAAAGAGUAACCAGGUUUAUGCUGGAGAAAAAUUACAGGAUGGCUGAACCCAAGAGUGGCAACUGCUAAGAUUUCCCGGGACCAAACCUGCCUCUCAGUUUAUGCCGGCUCACUCCAUCCCCCCAGAGUCUCAGAGAAGGGAGGGCCUGCCCAAGCCUCAUGCAGGGAAACGUGGGAAAACUGGAACCGCUCUCACCAUUGUUUGAAAGCGCGUUUUAUUAGGAGUGUAGGAAAAAGCUAGCCUGACUCUGUCCAGGCUGUGCCAGGACAGGCAGGAGGCGACCUCCUCCCUCCAAGAAUGGCUGGUGGUCACUGGGACCCAGCUCCAGCCUUUUCCACUCCCACAAAGUGAUACCCCUGCUCCACCCCCGCUUCUGUGACCCACACUCACUCACCACCCAGGGGUCCACAUGCCCAGCAACAACAGGGCCUGGACAUAGGGAGGUGGCUGCCAGACUCCCAAGUCCCCAAGUGUCUCCCUUGUCAGAUCAGUCCAGCCAAACAUCUCCCGUCUCCACCUCACUCCUAAGACAACGACUUUUCUCACUGAAAAGAUUUUAAAAAGAAAACACCCCACAACACACACACACACACACACACACACACACACAAGGCAGCAGGAUAUGGUUCUAAGACAGCCAAAAUGGUGGCUUCCUGUUUCUUUAGGGAUGUGUGUUUUGGAGUAUGGCUUCGGACAAGGGUGUUGGUUGGGGACAGGGCUGCCUUCUGCUAAAUUCUAAGAGAAAAAGAGAAAAGAGUGACGAUCGCUCCCUGGCAGACAGAUGCAGGCAGCUGGGAUUGCGGCCCUGCGAACGCGCCUCUUUGAGGGAACUUUCUGCCCUUCCCGCGGCUGCAGUCAGCAGUCCGGAGACCUGGGAUCCAGGCACCGACCAUCUCUGAGUCUCAGUCACUGAAUCUGUUAAAUGGCACUCCUCCGGAGGGAUCGCGAACAUUUAGCGUCACACGCACUCUGGAUCUCACGGAAUCCCUGCCUGGCAGUCGGGUUCACAGGGCAGAGACGUGAGGGCGGGAGGGGCCGCCUGCACGCGGCUCAGCCUCGCCAGGAGCGUCCCCUCGGCGCUCGGUCCCAGCGGGAGGCACAAAGAGGGCCCCGGGCCAGGGCGCUGAGAGGGAGGCUGCGCUGCGGGGGGCGGGGGCAACCCAGGGCUUUUCAGUCCCAGCCCGAGAGUGAGCUCCAAGUCUCGGGGUCCAGGAGAGAGAAGGAAGCCGGCAUCCUCUUAAGGGUGUUUGGAUCAGUGAAGGUGAAGCAGGUCGAGGUCCUGUUCACCUCCAAACCACCAAUUCUGAGUGUGAAGCUGGACAUGUGGCAGCUGCUCCAAAAUUGAUGGAGCGGCAUGACUUUCAGGCUGAAAGAGGAGGCUGCUUCUGGAGUGAGGGGUCUCCCAUCAUUAGAGCUGUACAAAACCCAGCAGAUUCAAAGUCUUCUCUGCAGGAUGGUGUCAAGAUGGCGGCGUAGGUGGACUCUGAACUCACCUUCUCCCAUAGAUGCAACCUACUCUUGGAAUGAUUACCCCUAAGAGAGGACUGAAAACUGGAUACAGGGAACCCCAACAAUGAGACAGUGUUGACUGAGGUGGAAAAAGCAGAAGUUCCUUUCUGGAGAGAAAAAAGCCACCUUUGACCAGCCAGGAGCAACCCUAAGGGCACAAGUGACCAGCAAGUCUUCCAUGUGCUCAUCCCGGUUGCGUAUUUAGGCAAGAAGUGACCAGGCCAAGCACAGAGCCCUGCCCUUCAGGCUCUCCACCACUCACUGGGUGUGGCCGAACAAGCCGCUACCUGAGCCACACCUAUCCCCCUUUCCACGAGGACAUCAAGAGCUUUCACCCAGCGUCUUCCCGGAAUCUGGAUGGUCUAGGCCAGCAGCAUGUCUCUCACUACUCCUCCAGUCACCCUGCCGGAAGAUGAACCGGGCCGGUAGGUGGUUUUAAAACCCGUCCACAAAUUCUUCAACAGUCCUCCCAUCAGGAGGUGAGUCUCACUCCCCUCCCUUGAAUGUGGGCUGGCCCUAGGACUCACAUGCAGGGAAGGAAACGCUACACGUCUUACAAGGCCAAGUCGUAAAAGGCAACGCAGCUCCCACCUGGCUGUCGCUCUGGACACUCCCUCUUGGAACCCAACCGCCAUACUGCGAGGAAGCCCAGACCACACGGAGAGGCCAUGUGUAAGUGUUCCGGCUGACGGCCUGCAGUGACCGUCAGGCGUGUGGGUGAGCAAGCCUUUGGGAUGACACCAGGCCCAGCCAACUUCUGGCUGCAACCCAAGAGACCCCAAGCAAGAACCACCCACCCAAGCCCAGUCAGCCCCCGACCAUCAGUGACAAUAAUAACAAAUGAUUGUGUUGUUUUCCACCACUAAGCCUGGGUAGUUAGUUUCACAGGUCCAGAUAACAGAACUGUUGCUAUGGCAACAAGAAUCUCUUGCAGAGGUCCCAUUCCCUUUUUUCCGUGAGCGUUUUCAAACUGUCGACCUAACAGGCCAUCUAGAAUUAGGAAGAGUCCUUCGGGUUUACAGUUCAGGAAUCUGCCCCUUUCCACUUUCCAGAACCUGAACCAUCUAUGUGUGUGUCGUCUCCUGAUUCUUCCCCACCAUUCCUCAAAAAUUGUUGAAAACUGUUGUAAGCAUACUAUUGAGUCUGUUUAGAACCCUUGGAUAUAACAAAUUAGGAGCCCAGAAUUCAUUUUAGUAAUCAUAAUAGCACUAACAACUGUAAUUUGUAACCUCUCAGUAAAUGUUAGUGGUGCCAGCACUUCACAUGUAUCAACUCAUCUAAUCCUCACAACCCAACACACUGAAAACUAUGCUUAUUCUUGCUGAGGCACAGAGAGGGUGAGCAGUUUGCUCGGGUCACACAGCCACUAAAGGUGGCCAGAUUCCUUUUUCCUGCCCCUUCGCCUAUCUCAUGUAUAGGCUGCCCUUUCCCAUUAAAGGUCAUCCUCCUUUUGAGGAUAGCAAAAGCCAAAUAAGAGCUGCGUCUUUUUGUAAGUAGUUUUUGGCAUCCCCCACUCCCCAGCUACCGCACCCCCAAGUGGCAGGCCAACCUUCCGAAUGUUUCUGAAAAGUUGCUGGUCAUCUUCGGCCUCAGCUCACCUUCGGUUUGGGCCUUCCUGAUGGUGUGCUCCCUCACCCACUUAGGUCUUCGUGUAUUUCCUACCUAAACCUGAGCAGCCCCUCUGCCUCAUCUCCCCUCCUCCCUGGGACUGUCGAGGAACUCGUCUUCACGGGGCUCCAAGCCCUCCCUCUCUGGGUCUCUGGCCUUCAGGUCUCAGUGACUUUGCUCUCUGCACCUGUCAGCAUCUGCCCUUCCUAAUGUCCACAGGUUCCUCUGGCUCCUGUCUCCUCUGCUAAGUGUCCAGGAUCCUGGGGUCACAGCGUGACCUCCACGAUUCCUCCAGGGAUGGCUUUCCCCCGAACCUCUUUAGGGUCAGGCACACAUUGUGACAAGGUCCAAACUCAGUACUCUGGGGAGAGACUGGCAUCAAGGCUCCUAGAAAGCUGAGGGGUCUGGUGCUGCCCAGACUCGGUGUGGUGGCGGGGUGCAGUCAGGCGGGCCAUGGCUGCAGGCCGGUAACACUUUUUACACGCUUGCUCAUCACUUUGCGGUUUAUGAAACAUUUCGGUACACACGCUUUCAUAAGAUCCUCACAACGGCCCUUGCAGGUGGGCAUUCUUACCCUCACGGUAAGGGGGAGGAGAGUGAGAUUAGCCCACGGUCACCCAGCAAGUAAGGAGCAGAGCAGAGGCUCCAGCCUCGUCUUGGGACCCCUGACCCAGUAAGCUUUUCACUGUACCUCCUGCUCAGGCAUUCCAGAACCUGCUCUUAUCUCCUGACGCCACCUGCACUGCGGCAACAGCGUAACCCCAGCUCCUGCCGUGACCCAGGCGCUAUGCUUCUCCAGAGAGACAGCUACCUUUGCUCAUCACGCCCAAGCCGGGCCCAGGUGGUGCUCAAUGGAUGGGCAUCACCUGGCUGAAAAGCCAAGAGGCAGGCUGGGGCCAGCACGCGACCCUUGUCUACGUGGCCCUGCUGGGAGACAAAGGCGCAGCAGGACUGGGAUCCACACAGGAUGGGGCGGGUGUGGUGGGAUAAAGGCAGGGGUGUCGCUACAGCCCCACCCAAACCCAUCUGCAUGACUCCCCCACAGAACCCGGCACUGCACAAACGCCCCCGUGGCCCUUUCCCCAAGUCUGUGUCCCGAAGACACCAACAGCACCGCCCCCUCGCCACCGCAGGCUCCCAUUCCAGCCUCCGCGGCACCCGGCCGCUCCUCCCUCCCCUCCCCCCCACACUGUGCCCACCCCUCAUCCACGGU